RNAcentral lists this ribosomal RNA (960 nucleotides) under Natrinema pellirubrum. RNAcentral describes it as "bacterial SSU rRNA". It matches the Rfam family "Archaeal small subunit ribosomal RNA", at positions 426 to 1383 of the family's 1478-position model. Lineage: Archaea; Methanobacteriati; Methanobacteriota; Halobacteria; Halobacteriales; Natrialbaceae. The record is from RNAcentral.
GGUCGCGGAAUAAGUGCUGGGCAAGACCGGUGCCAGCCGCCGCGGUAAUACCGGCAGCACGAGUGAUGACCGCUAUUAUUGGGCCUAAAGCGUCCGUAGCUGGCCAUGCAAGUCCAUCGGGAAAUCCGCGCGCUUAACGCGCGGGCGUCCGGUGGAAACUGCAUGGCUUGGGACCGGAAGACCAGAGGGGUACGUCCGGGGUAGGAGUGAAAUCCCGUAAUCCUGGACGGACCACCGGUGGCGAAAGCGCCUCUGGAAGACGGAUCCGACGGUGAGGGACGAAAGCUCGGGUCACGAACCGGAUUAGAUACCCGGGUAGUCCGAGCUGUAAACGAUGUCUGCUAGGUGUGGCACAGGCUACGAGCCUGUGCUGUGCCGCAGGGAAGCCGUGAAGCAGACCGCCUGGGAAGUACGUCCGCAAGGAUGAAACUUAAAGGAAUUGGCGGGGGAGCACUACAACCGGAGGAGCCUGCGGUUUAAUUGGACUCAACGCCGGACAUCUCACCAGCAUCGACAAUGUGCAGUGAAAGUCAGGUUGAUGACCUUACUGGAGCCAUUGAGAGGAGGUGCAUGGCCGCCGUCAGCUCGUACCGUGAGGCGUCCUGUUAAGUCAGGCAACGAGCGAGACCCGCACUCCUAAUUGCCAGCAACACCUAGCGGUGGUUGGGUACAUUAGGAGGACUGCCAGUGCCAAACUGGAGGAAGGAACGGGCAACGGUAGGUCAGUAUGCCCCGAAUGUGCUGGGCGACACGCGGGCUACAAUGGCCGAGACAGUGGGAUGCAACCCCGAAAGGGGGCGCUAAUCUCCGAAACUCGGUCGUAGUUCGGAUUGAGGGCUGAAACUCGCCCUCAUGAAGCUGGAUUCGGUAGUAAUCGCGCCUCAGAAGGGCGCGGUGAAUACGUCCCUGCUCCUUGCACACACCGCCCGUCAAAGCACCCGAGUGGGGUCCGGAUGAGGC